GUGGGCAUAGUUUAACCAAAAUUUUAGUUUGUGGUUCUAAAGAUAGGGGUUAAAACCCCCUUGCCAACC
Molecule: transfer RNA, 69 nt
Filed under: Pterapogon kauderni
Lineage: Eukaryota; Metazoa; Chordata; Actinopteri; Kurtiformes; Apogonidae
Description: tRNA-His
Rfam family: tRNA
About the family: Transfer RNA (tRNA) molecules are approximately 80 nucleotides in length. Their secondary structure includes four short double-helical elements and three loops (D, anti-codon, and T loops).
Source: RNAcentral